ACUCCUACGGGAGGCAGCAGUGGGGAAUAUUGCACAAUGGGGAAGCCAUCGAUGCAGCCAUGCCGCGCUGUGUGAAGAAGGCCAAUUCGGGCUUGGUAAAGACACUUUCAGCGAGGAGGAAAGGGUGUGUGCUAAUACCAUACAUCUGUGACGUUACUCGCAGAAGAAGCACCGGCUAACUCCGUGCCAGCAGCCGCGGUAAUACGGAGGGUGCGAGCGUUAAUCGGAAUUACUGGGCGUAAAGCGUGCGCAGGCGGUUUGUUAAGCGAGAUGUGAAAGCCC
This 282-nucleotide ribosomal RNA is filed under the name uncultured bacterium. Its description in RNAcentral is "partial 16S ribosomal RNA". It matches the Rfam family "Bacterial small subunit ribosomal RNA", at positions 335 to 603 of the family's 1533-position model. The record is from RNAcentral.